This 393-nucleotide unclassified non-coding RNA is filed under the name fungal sp. RNAcentral's name for it is "partial internal transcribed spacer region". The stretch from base 1 to 46 matches the Rfam family "Eukaryotic small subunit ribosomal RNA", at positions 1786 to 1831 of the family's 1831-position model. The record is from RNAcentral. Lineage: Eukaryota; Fungi.
AAGUCGUAACAAGGUUUCCGUAGGUGAACCUGCGGAAGGAUCAUUAACACGUAUCCAAACGUUAAAACCCCCCCCGUGAACCUUCAUCCUGCUCUUGUAACCCGCGUAGUUCGCAAUCUCUGAUAAAUCAUAGCCCGGAAAGUUGUAGUGAUUCAGAGACCUCUGGCUACGUGCGAACAUUGGAACAGUUACAAUCGAGCGGUAGUUCUAUAGGCAAUGUUUCUCCAAGCAGUCAGUGUCGGAAAGUGUCAUUGAUUGUGCAAGGAUAGCGCUUCUAGGAUUGCUGUAGACCGUACACUCGGGCCUAAUAACCCCACAGUUUAAUGUGAAGCUCAAUGUAAUACAUUGGGUAAAAAAACCGAACAACUGUUAACAAUGGAUAUCUUGGUUCUC